CUGGAACUGGGCAUCUAUGAGGAAAAAGGAGUCCUUGGGUUAAUUCAAGCAAGCAGUGGGCCAUGAUAAUGGGGAGAUCAACACUUACUCUCUGGUGGUAUCCUGUCUUUGUGUGGGCAGCCGGACAGACUGCGAUGGUGAGGGUACAAUCCAGUCACAUGACCAGUCCCAUCACACCCUGGGGUUUGCCUUGCCUGUCCUCUAUGUGGAAAUAGCGAAGUUGUUCCCCUGGCAUCCUGCCUGCAUCCCGCAUCAUUUUCACCUGCUCAGCC
Long non-coding RNA from Polyodon spathula (Mississippi paddlefish), 272 nucleotides. RefSeq lists it as uncharacterized. The transcript is spliced from 3 exons. NCBI's taxonomy places the organism in Eukaryota, Metazoa, Chordata, Actinopteri, Acipenseriformes, Polyodontidae. The record is from RefSeq and is a predicted model, not a curated record.